Canis lupus familiaris (dog) is the source of this 1998-nucleotide long non-coding RNA. RefSeq lists it as uncharacterized. The transcript is spliced from 3 exons. The record is from RefSeq and is a predicted model, not a curated record. NCBI's taxonomy places the organism in Eukaryota, Metazoa, Chordata, Mammalia, Carnivora, Canidae.
GCUGGUGUCUGGCGUCCAAGGCUACGGUGCCCACGCGGGCUUUGUUCAGCUUGCCGGCCUUCCCGGGCUCCUGCGUGGGGCCUGGGCUCUGCCCGCCUGAGUCCCACUCAUUCUACAGAGCGGAGGCCGGCCCCGCACGCCUGGCGGCGGGGCACUCGCUGAGGGCAGCCCCAUGGGCGGAGCCCACAGGCACCUCCGGCCCCGACCCGGGUGUGAAGACCUCUCCAGGCACCCCCCCACACACACCUUUCAAAGAUGGCCUAGUACUUUAAACAAUGAAAAAGCCAAGGGACAGAAUGGGGCAACCAGCUGCGACCUUGGAAAGCAGGCCCUGGGAACCGCGCCCCUCCACUGCCUGGGCCCCUCCGGGCCCUUUAUCCAGAGCCGCUGCCGUGGCAACGUGGUAAACAGGCUUCAAGUGACCAGGAGGGCUCUUUCGGGAUUGUGUUGUUGGGGAGAAGAAUGGUCGCUGGAAUGCUUCCUUGGCUGAGAUUUCCUGAAAAGGUGAAGCUGCCUGGCUGUGGCGUCUGUGUGAGAUGCUCUCAGAAGUCAAGGGUGCAGGCAGUGGGCACUCCGGCCGCAGGAGGGAAGCGUGGUGGCCAUGAAUGAGACAAGAAGCGACACACAAGAGAACGGGAUCGUUUGCGUGGGGUCCUGGGCCACAGAGACCUCAUGGUCAGCACUGUGCCGCUGGGCGCAGCAGCAACAGUCCUGUUCUGACGAGAUCUGACUUGAGAAAAUGUCCAUCAUACGCACCUCUGCCAGAAGCCCUCCUGCAGCAGCCCAAAGCCUCAGCGUGAUCCAGGUGACCCAGGGCCUGCCUCCUUGGAGGAGACCCAUGGAAUCUUCCAGGAGGAAUCUUCCACGACACCGUAGGGUUGAGCUGAAAGCUUGAAGAGGAUGCUGUGGGAAUUGAGGAUGUGUCCCUCCCCCCCACCACCCAAGGGCUCCUCACAUCAAACCUCCUGGAGGGGAGGGACGGAGAGGAGGGUUCGGCCAGGCCCAGCUCCUGUCCGGGGAGUGCAGCCUGGCCCUCCCCACACGGAGGCUGGGAACUGCAGGCAGCCAGCGCUCACAGCCCCAAGGCCUUCCCAAUGUUUAGCAGUGUGUUUCCUCCUCCUGCGCAUCCUCAGCAUCCUCAGGGUGUUCCUGAGGAAUGUUAAUGACAGACUUUUCUGACUAGAACUCAUUUGCUAAAACACCAGGUGGGGAGAGAUCACAGGCCAUGGGACACCCUUGGGGAGACAUUCUGAUGAAGCAAAGCAGGUUUCCUUUGUUGGGGACAUCUCCUGGGGUGGGUUCCGCACCUCAGGCACUUCAGGCCACAAGCUAGUACCGCCAAACAAAUCAGGACAGAACAAAGCCAACAGGCUACACCUUGUGGAGAAGUCUGCCCUCUGUCAACUCCAACAGUCUCAGGUGAGGAAGAGGCCAUCUUGCAGUGCCAUGUAAGGGGAAGAAGUGACCGCACGCUAGCCCCUAUGGAGACGUAGGCUUUUUUAUUUCUUUUUCUAUUAUUAAGCCUUUAUUUUAAUUCCAGCCUAGUUAACAUCCAGCAUGGCAUUAGCCGCAGGCGUCUAGUGUAGUGAUGGAGCAUUUCCCACAUCCCCGGCACAUCCGCCUGCGCAGCCCCCCUCCCCUCUGUCGACAUUCGGUCUGUUGUCCACAAGCUAAGAGCCUGUUUCUUGGUUUGCCUCUCUCUCACUUUCUUACCUUUGCUCAUAGGUUUUGCUUAUGAGACUCCACACACGAGUGAAAUCGCAUGGUGCUCGUCUUUCUCCAACUGACUUACUUCGCUUAGCCUAAUACCUUCCAGCUCCAUUCCUGUCUUUGCAGAUGGCAAGGUUUCAAUCUUUUUUAUGGCUGAGUAGUAUUCCAUUGUGUUGACAGGCAGGCUCUUUAAAAUUUGCCUCAUAGAAAAAAUGAGUGAGAAAUAUCAGAAAGGGAGACAGAACAUGAGAGACUCCUAACUCUGGGAAAUGAACAAGGGGUGGUGGA